Raphanus sativus (radish) is the source of this 1433-nucleotide long non-coding RNA. RefSeq lists it as uncharacterized. The record is from RefSeq and is a predicted model, not a curated record. The transcript has 3 exons. Lineage: Eukaryota; Viridiplantae; Streptophyta; Magnoliopsida; Brassicales; Brassicaceae.
ACGCUUCAUCUUCUUCUUCAUUUUCUCAAACGCUUCUUUCUUCCAUGACCACGUCUCCUCCUCCCCGUCUUCUCCCUGACCAAUGUCAAGCCCUUCUACCGAUUCUAUGUUUGCCUUAGACUCCGACUCUGAUUUUUCCUCUCACCACCACGAUGGUGGAGAUGACACCGAACUCUCGAUUCCUUCUGAUACCCCAAAUUUAUCGGCACGCUUUCUCCAUCGCUGCUCCACCUCCCCUACAACCAAGACACACUUACUUCUCCACCGGCACGACUGCAGCUUCCAGAUCCAACUGUGUUCCGUUUUAACUAGAUUUUCCGGCGUGAUUUGGAUGAUGCGGGGGCUUCCCUCACGAGCCACAUGGAUUUGGCUGUUACCAAAUUUGCUAAGGACGUCUUCACUUUUUGUUCUGGCGCAUAUGUGUCUUCUUAUAUCAUUUGUUUCUUUUUAAUUAAGAAAAGUAGGGUUUUGCUAAGCUCUAGCUGUUUGGUUGAUUCAUAAAAAUGAUUGGCACGCCCCGUUAUUCAUUGACUUAUUUUUUCUUUUAGUUAAUCGAAUCUUACCUUAUUUUUCCUCUCUUUUGCUUAAUUGAACCGUACCAUAUUCAGUUUUGCUCUCGGUUUUUGUCAGGUUAAUAUUAUUGAUAUUCGACUCAUCACUGAAGUUGAGAGAGCUUUACGCUCAAUUACGUCGACAAGUAAAUGAGGAGAUAUGAAAGUCCCUAGAAUCUACAGAAAAAGAGACCCGCCCUCACACGUAGUUUUAGACACUCCAGCUGGUCAUGAUGCUUCAAGGACUUCAGACGGUGUAUCAAGAGCUUCAGAAGAUACAAUAGGAAAUGCAUGAGUGCAAGAGACAUACGGUUAUAGCGUAAGAAGCAAAACAUCAGGCCGUGGUUUAUGUAACGGUUAAAAUGAAAAGGAGUGUCAUUCCUGAGCUAAAACUGGAACUAGCAUUGGCCGAGAAAGAACAAGUGAAACAAGACUCCCAUCUUGCGAAGCUGAGAGUGGAGGAAAUGAAACAAGGGAUAGCUGAAGAGUCGAGUGUUGCAGCCAAAACACGGCUUGAGGUGACUAAGCUAUUCUAGAAAAUCCUACACCUAUUCAACAUAAAAUAAUCUCUAUGAUUUUCAUGAGGCAAUCAUAUCUCAUUGAUUUUAAAGGGCAACCGCGUCGACACAACUAGCAACUACAAUAGUAAAUUUUCAAAUUAAUCAAAAUAGCUACUUAUAAAUAUUCAUAAUUAAAUUACACAAAUAUCGGUUUGAAGUCAAGAAUAUAAUCUAUCUAUGUUCUCUUAUUUACGGCUAUGUUUUUCAUUUCUACUGCGUUGAUCAAUUGUUUCGUACAAAUAUAAAAUGCCCCAUAUAUAUAGGAAAAGUCAUCUAUCAUUCAGCAUUAUGACAAUUUAUAAAGGAGUUUAUUAUGUUCCAA